GACAAUGCUUCUUUAUCUAAGUCUCUGCCAAAGAUUUGUCCUGGAGGCCUCGGCCUUUUACUUCCUGAUUUAAGGAACUUGUUUUUCACUGAAGACCAGAUUUCUAACCAGUCCGACUUUGAACGCUUUAAGUAGCCAAAGACGGUCUUGAACUUGUGACCCUCAAGCCUCUGCCUCUGGAGUGCUAGGAUCACAGGUCUGUGCUAGCACACCUGGCUUACAAUAUCUGAGGAUUUGAACCCAGGAUCUCGUGUAGGCUAGGUGACCAGUCUUUUGAAGGGAAGAGGUGACCAGAACGGCUGAUGAAGAGCACCAAGAGAAAGUUAGUAUUCAAUUCUGGGCAUCAAAGACAAGGUUUCAGAGUAAGACGCCAACCUGAACCCUAGAUUUGAAACAGGAGGUAAGCUGAAAAAUGAAAAGAGAGCUGGAAAUGGACACAAAAAACUACAGAAACCAGAUUCAUUCCUUGACUUUAAGAGCGGACAAUUCAAAACUCAAGCCUACGACUGCAUUUAUAACCACACCAGGAAGAGCACAGUGCUCAGACCGGACCUAAUAAACAGUGCUGACCCGAAGACCUGAGUCUCAAUGGCACUUAGUACUGGCCGGGCGCUGGCGGGGUGCAAGACUUGGCUUUGCUAAGCAGAGUAGCAAGCCCCACCGAUGUGGUCUACAGAUAGAGUGCACUCAGGACGACCUUAACAACCUUCCUUUCCUUCAGCCAUGGGAAAGCUAAUCCUAAAAUCCAUACGGACCUGCAGUGCACGCCACACGGAAGAGUUCUGUAGAAGAACAGUCUUAGAGAACUCAGUCUUCCUGAUUUCACAGUUUUGAGCUAAGCCGUGGUAGAUCAAGACGGUGCUAAAAGCAAAGGCCGGUGAACAGAAAGAAGCCCGGUUCUGAGGUCACUCCCUUGGAGGAAAGGGGUGUUGGACCAUUCCGGAGGGAAAGACUCAUCUUCAAUAAAUGUGUUGAGGCAACUCUCUACGAGAAGGAAGCUGAGCCCUACUAGGGUCUGAGCUUGGCUUGCUGUCACUGCAGCUCACGCUGGAGUUUAAUCCCCGCUGUUAGGUGUUAUGAGGGUGGAAACUUAAUCUCACUACAUUGUAACAAAAUGGAGCAUUUGGGGAUAUGAUCAGGAUUAGAUAAGACAUUUAGGGUGAGCCCCCCACCCCAUGACUGAAUCCUGGUGGCUUUGUAAGAAAGACCAGAGGACAGACCUAGACAUGUGGAUUUCCUGUCAUGUGUUGCCCUGAGCUGUGUCAGGACUCUGCCAGCAAGAAGGCUGUGGGGAGACUUGGACUCUUCAUCACGGGCCAGAACUGUGAACCAAAAUAAACCCCUUUAUACUUCACCUGGUCUGUGAUAUUGUGUCAUUAGCAACAAAAAACAGGCUAAGACAGGCACCAGUCUCACACCAGAUGCAAAAGUCAGUUCAAAUAGUGGCCCAGGGGUUGUCUUAGUCAUUAGAGAAAUGCAAACCAAACCCACAGUGAGAUGCCACUAUCUAGCCACUCAGAAGGCUGAAUUCAGGGGAAGAAUGAAAAAGGAAAGAAGAAAGACUGCCGCUUAGAAAAACAGAUUGUCAGUUCCCUAGAAGCCAAACAGAAUUUUCAGGACACCCUGCAAAAUGCCCUCCAAUAGAAAUCAAAGUAUGUGUUUCAGCUGGGCUGUGGUGGAGCACACCUUUAAUCCCAGCACUCUGGGAGGUGAGGCAGGUGGAUCUUUGAGCUCUUGACCAGCCUGCUCUACAGAGUGAGUUCCAGAACAGCCAGAGCUACACAGAGAAACCUUGUCUUGAAAACCAACCAACCAACCAACCAACCAACCAACCAACCAACCAACCAACCAACCAACCAACCAAGUGUUUAGACAAAAACUUGUACAGGAAUAUUGAUAGCAACAAUAUUUACAAGAGUGGAAGGAAUAUAGAUUUCUAUCAACCAUUGACUUGAUAAACAAAACCUGCAUAUUACUCAGAGAUAAAAAUAAAAGAAGUUACUGACCUAUGCAGCAGUACUGAUGGAUGGGAGCCUCUAGUAGGUGAGAGAAUCUAGCCGUACCUGCCGUGCAUUUAGUCUGUUUCUGUGACUGUCCUGAUAGGCAAGUCUACAGAGACAAAGCACAGGGAAGCAGGCACCAGCAGCCACGGGUAAAGGAUUUGGGAGUGAAUGCUUAACAUGUGUCUUAGUUAGGGUUACUUUUGCUGUGAAGAGACACCCUGACCACCUCACCUCUUAUAAAGGAAAAGCGUGUUGUUAGGGUGGCUUCCAGUUUCAGCGGUUUAGUCUAUUGUCACCAUGGCAAAAUAUGGUGGUGUUCAGGCAGAUGUGAGUUCUGUAUUUUGAUCUGAAGGCAACAGCAAGUGAACUGUGUAUCACACUGAACAUAGCUUGAGCAAAAAAGACCUCAAAGCCCACUCCCACAGUCACACACUCCCUCCUAUAAGGCCACAAAUAUGCUAACAAAGCCACAUCUCCUAAUAGUACCACUCCUUUAAGGAUCAUUUUUCCCCCCCAAACCACCACAAUGGAUGUGGGUUUUUUUGAGAAAAAAAGAUGGUGAUGUUCUGGAAGUGUAUGAUGAUGAUUGUUAUACACAAAAAUAAAUAAAAAUGACUGAAAGCUGUGCUUUCAACAAAACAAAGCAGUAAUAUUUAUGUUAAUUUUACUUCAAUAAAAAUAAAGGUUAAAGAAUGCUGUUUAUCAGUUAUGUAGAUUGGAAGGGGUUGGAGGACAGUGAUUGGUGUAACAGGAAAGAGAGCCCCAAGGAUGGGCAAAGGCACUUCACUUUGUCACAAAAACACAGGCCCUGGGGAGACCUAGGAGGCAGAACAGAGGACAACCAACCCAUUGUGAGGCUUCCUCUCAAGGGAACAGGGACAUACAUGACCAGCCAAGGAUGGCCCGUGACAGGUUAAUCUUCGCUGUCAAUUUGACCACAUUUAUAGCCGAGUGGACGUCCACGACUAGGUACGUCAAUAGUGGCAUUUCCAGAAAGGAUUAACUGAAGAGGGAAGACCUGCCCUAAGUGUGGACAAUGUUACUAUCA
Long non-coding RNA from Alexandromys fortis (reed vole), 3051 nucleotides. RefSeq lists it as uncharacterized. The transcript is spliced from 3 exons. The record is from RefSeq and is a predicted model, not a curated record. Lineage: Eukaryota; Metazoa; Chordata; Mammalia; Rodentia; Cricetidae.